RNAcentral lists this long non-coding RNA (445 nucleotides) under Homo sapiens (human). RNAcentral's name for it is "non-protein coding lnc-SENP6-3:1". Lineage: Eukaryota; Metazoa; Chordata; Mammalia; Primates; Hominidae. The record is from RNAcentral.
AGAGCUACGGUGACACUUCGCGUGCGGUGUAGGCGCAUCUUCGCUCUGUUGGCCGUGGCUUUAGUAAGCACACACCUGCCUGCUACUCUGGUUAUCGUGGCGACGGCAGGUCUGGAUUGCCAGACAGGUUUUUCUUUUUACCUCGAGGCUUUCUCUGAAGGGAGUCGGAGCAUUUAAAAGGCGGCCUCAAGGUGGAUUGAGUCGGGGGAGGAUUAGCAGUAUUUGCUUAGGUUGUAAAACCGCGACUUUAUCUAAUAAAUCGCCAUUCAAGGUGCAAAUACAAACUUGGAACAGAGAUUGCAUUUGGGUUUAAACAGAGGACUUAAUCAUAGCAUGGACAGAAAAGGCUCACCAUCUAUCUAAAUGACUCUGAUUGCACCAUCAUCCUCAUUGUUCUUGUGGAGUCUCGCUCUGUCGCCCAGGCUGGGGUGGAGUGACGCGAUCU